UACGUAGGUGGCAAGCGUUGUUCGGAAUUACUGGGCGUAAAGCGCGCGUGGGCGGCUCUUCAAGUCAGGCGUGAAAGCCCCGGGCUUAACUCGGGAACUGCGCUUGAUACUGUCGAGCUAGAGUGUGGAAGGGGCGAUUGGAAUUCCGUGUGUAGCGGUGAAAUGCGUAGAUAUACGGAGGAACACCAGAGGCGAAGGCGGAUCGCUGGGCCAACACUGACGCUGAUGUGCGAAAGCUAGGGGAGCAAACGGG
Molecule: ribosomal RNA, 253 nt
Filed under: uncultured bacterium
Lineage: Bacteria
Description: partial 16S ribosomal RNA
Rfam family: Bacterial small subunit ribosomal RNA
Source: RNAcentral